RNAcentral lists this ribosomal RNA (480 nucleotides) under uncultured Anoxybacillus sp. RNAcentral's name for it is "bacterial SSU rRNA". It matches the Rfam family "Bacterial small subunit ribosomal RNA", at positions 900 to 1382 of the family's 1533-position model. The record is from RNAcentral. Lineage: Bacteria; Bacillati; Bacillota; Bacilli; Caryophanales; Anoxybacillaceae.
CUUAAAUGAAUUGACGGGGCCGCACAAGCGGUGGAGCAUGUGGUUUAAUUCGAAGCAACGCGAAGAACCUUACCAGGUCUUGACAUCCCUGACAACCCGAGAGAUCGGGCGUUCCCCUUCGGGGGACAGGGUGACAGGUGGUGCAUGGUUGUCGUCAGCUCGUGUCGUGAGAUGUUGGGUUAAGUCCCGCAACGAGCGCAACCCUCGACCUUAGUUGCCAGCAUUCAGUUGGGCACUCUAAGGUGACUGCCGGCUAAAAGUCGGAGGAAGGUGGGGAUGACGUCAAAUCAUCAUGCCCCUUAUGACCUGGGCUACACACGUGCUACAAUGGUUGGUACAACGAGUUGCGAGUCGGUGACGGCGAGCUAAUCUCUUAAAGCCAAUCUCAGUUCGGAUUGUAGGCUGCAACUCGCCUACAUGAAGUCGGAAUCGCUAGUAAUCGCGGAUCAGCACGCCGCGGUGAAUACGUUCCCGGGCCUU